UACGUAGGGUGCGAGCGUUGUCCGGAAUUAUUGGGCGUAAAGGGCUCGUAGGCGGUUUGUCGCGUCGGGAGUGAAAACCAUGAGCUUAACUCAUGGCUUGCUUUCGAUACGGGCAGACUAGAGGCAUGCAGGGGAGAACGGAAUUCCUGGUGUAGCGGUGAAAUGCGCAGAUAUCAGGAGGAACACCGGUGGCGAAGGCGGUUCUCUGGGCAUGUCCUGACGCUGAGGAGCGAAAGCGUGGGGAGCGAACAGG
Molecule: ribosomal RNA, 253 nt
Filed under: uncultured bacterium
Lineage: Bacteria
Description: partial 16S ribosomal RNA
Rfam family: Bacterial small subunit ribosomal RNA
Source: RNAcentral